UACCAGCCCCCUGAGUGAUAGGGACGACUAUUUAGCCUAAAGCGUCCGUAGCCGGCUUAACAAGUCUUUCGUUAAAUCUGACGAUUCAAUCGCCAGACUGCGGAAGAUACUGCUAGGCUCGAGGGCGGGAGAGGUUGACGGUAGUCCCGGGGUAGGGGUGAAAUCCUAUAAUCCCGGGAGGACCACCAGUGGCGAAGGCGGUCAACUAGAACGCGCCUGACGGUGAGGGACGAAAGCUGGGGGAGCGAAC
RNAcentral lists this ribosomal RNA (250 nucleotides) under uncultured bacterium. RNAcentral's name for it is "partial 16S ribosomal RNA". It matches the Rfam family "Archaeal small subunit ribosomal RNA", at positions 474 to 724 of the family's 1478-position model. The record is from RNAcentral.